This 464-nucleotide ribosomal RNA is filed under the name uncultured bacterium. Its description in RNAcentral is "partial 16S ribosomal RNA". It matches the Rfam family "Bacterial small subunit ribosomal RNA", at positions 338 to 795 of the family's 1533-position model. The record is from RNAcentral.
CCUACGGGAGGCAGCAGUAGGGAAUUUUCGUCAAUGGGCGCAAGCCUGAACGAGCAAUGCCGCGUGAACGAGGAAGGUCUUCGGAUCGUAAAGCUCUGUUGAAGGGGAAAAAGAGCGGAGAGAGGAAAUGUACUCCGCUUGAUAUUACCCUACGAGGAAGUCACGGCUAACUACGUGCCAGCAGCCGCGGUAAUACGUAGGUGGCGAGCGUUAUCCGGAUUGAUUGGGCGUAAAGGGGGCGUGGGCGGCCUGUUAAGUCUGGGGGGAAAGGUACCGGCUCAACCGGUAGGGGCCCUGGAAACUGGCGGGCUAGAGAGCAGGAGAGGGGGGUGGAACUCCAUGUGUAGCGGUAAAAUGCGUAGAUAUAUGGAAGAACACCAGUGGCGAAGGCGGCCGCCUGGCCUGUUACUGACGCUGAGGCACGAAAGCGUGGGGAGCAAAUAGGAUUAGAUACCCGAGUAGUC